ACAUUGCACGCUGGGCUGCAUGUGUUACAACUGCAACUCAAAACGGCAGCCCCACCCUUCGACUCUGGUGGCCAGUGGGGAACGGGUGACUAAAGUAUCGGAACGUACCAUUGAGUGGGGGAUAACGUAGCGGAGGUUACGCUCAUACCGCAUAUUCCCCGAGGGGGAAAGCAUGGGAUCGCACGACCUUGUGCUCUUUGAGCGGCCCAUAUUGCAUUACCUAGUUGGUGAGGUAAAGGCUCACCUGGCGACGAUCUGUCUUGGGUCUGAGAGGAUGAUCCGCCCCACUGGAACUGAAACACGGUCCCCACUCCUACAGGAGGCAUGAUUGGGGAAUUUUGGACAAUGGGGGCAACCCUGAUCCCCCCAUGCCGCGUGAUUGAACAACGCCUUCGGGUUGUAAAGCUCUUUCGGCCGGGAGGAAAUCGCAUAGGUUAAUACCCUGUGUGGAUGACAGUACCGGAAUAAGAAGCACCGGCUAACUACGUGCCAGAAGCUUG
RNAcentral lists this ribosomal RNA (500 nucleotides) under uncultured bacterium. Its description in RNAcentral is "bacterial SSU rRNA". It matches the Rfam family "Bacterial small subunit ribosomal RNA", at positions 30 to 519 of the family's 1533-position model. The record is from RNAcentral.